This 65-nucleotide transfer RNA is filed under the name Hylomyscus endorobae (small-footed forest mouse). RNAcentral describes it as "tRNA-Phe". It matches the Rfam family "tRNA". Rfam says of the family: Transfer RNA (tRNA) molecules are approximately 80 nucleotides in length. The record is from RNAcentral. Lineage: Eukaryota; Metazoa; Chordata; Mammalia; Rodentia; Muridae.
GUUAAUGUAGCUUAACAAUAAAGCAAAGCACUGAAAAUGCUUAGAUGGAUACUCAAUCCCAUAAA